UAUUGGUCAAUGGACGCAAGUCUGAACCAGCUAUGCCGCGUGAAGGAUUAAGGUCCUCUGGAUUGUAAACUUCUUUUAUCUGGGACGAAAAAAGGUCUUUCUAGAUCACUUGACGGUACCAGAUGAAUAAGCACCGGCUAACUCCGUGCCAGCAGCCGCGGUAAUACGGAGGGUGCAAGCGUUAUCCGGAUUCACUGGGUUUAAAGGGUGCGUAGGCGGGCAGGUAAGUCAGUGGUGAAAUCCUGGAGCUCAACUCCAGAACUGCCAUUGAUACUAUCUGUCUUGAAUAUUGUGGAGGUAAGCGGAAUAUGUCAUGUAGCGGUGAAAUGCUUAGAUAUGACAUAGAACACCCAUUGCGAAGGCAGCCUACUACGCAUAUAUUGACGCGAGGCACGAA
Molecule: ribosomal RNA, 397 nt
Filed under: uncultured bacterium
Lineage: Bacteria
Description: bacterial SSU rRNA
Rfam family: Bacterial small subunit ribosomal RNA
Source: RNAcentral